ACCUGCCGCAAUAAAUGAUGCCCUGGAGAGCCUCUGGACCACCUUGAUGGGGUUGAGGUGGCAGGGAGAAUAUGACUUUGGGAUGACACAGGGGAUGUUGACAAAGACGAAGGUGAAGGCAAAGUUGGUGAAGGUGAAGGCAAAGCGGGUGAGAGUUUAGCAGGAGACGGAUCUGAAACUCCUGGGGAUCCAGUUGAUUCCUUCACCUAGAACAUGAUUAUAAACACAGAAGUAUAUCAUAUUAAGGAAAAGAAAAUAUUAAAUCCAGAAUCAUAAACCACAACAAAAGGGUCUUUUACAAUAACAAGCUCCAGAUGUUCCACACUCACUUCCACAGAGAUAUUCCUUGAGAUAGAUUGAUCUGCCAGACAUGUAGAGAGGUAUCAGAUACAACAGAACAUGGUACACUGAAAACAUAGUACAGGUUAAGAAGCCAAUAAGGGGUGUAAAGAGCAGAAAGUUCUUCCUAGCCAACCUUUUCAAAUAGUGACUAGUGAAUUGCUUCUUAAAAUAAAGGUAAAAAUAAAUAUGAGAUGAGUAGAAAAUGAAAAUUCUGUCAAUGAUAUGAUGACCCCAAAAAUGCGUAUCAGACCAAUGCUCAACCACAUGAUGCUAUUUUAAAACAUUAGAAAAAACACGGUAAUACAUCAGUAAUGAAAGAACAAAAGCAGAAAUUAAAGUGUGAAAUCUGCGACUUGUAACAUAAACCAGGAAACCAUAUAUCUACCAAUAAACAAACUCUUUAUAAAUGUGAAGAGCUUCUACACAAGCCCUAGCCCUUUCUUCAGCAGCAUCGAAAUAUAUUAUCUAUCAUCUAUGAGGAUCAGAAAUUAGCUUGAAACCUACAAACCAUGCAAUUGUAAAACUCCAAUUUCUGUGCAUCCAGCAUGAAAAUUGAGAAUGACAUGUACAUUUUAGAGAUCAUAAAAUGUCACGUUGAAAUGUCAUCUCGCUUUGAACACUUGCUAAUGAAGAAAAUAAAAGCAGAAGGACAUAUGAUGAGUAAUUUGCCAGUUUCAUGCAGUCACUUGCAGCCAAAACCAAAUGCUUCUCCAAAACUGGACUGGAAAGGAACAAUAUUUAUAACCAUGUUCUAAUUCCCAAAUGGAACCUAAAAAAGAACACGGUGAGAAUCAUCUGCUUCACAUCCUAGAAAAUUAAAAAUGGGAGAACCUAAAACUCAGAGAAAUAUAACCAUUUGCCAACAGAGGGUCCUUUUUAUUGCACAUAAAAUGAGGGACAUGAAACUCUUGAAGAGGCAUAAACUACUUCACCUUAUACACCAAAACUGCUUGAUUAUUAUCCUGACCAUUUUAAUGAUUAGCUGUACAAAUCCUUUUUCUAUCAUUUCACUUUACUAGGAUCACAUUUUCCAUUUGAUUGUAAGACUAUUAAACUCCUAUUCAUCUCCUUCUAAGCCAUCUUUCAUUCCUUGAGAACUUCUAACCUGUAUUUUCAUAGGUACAGCCACAGAUCUUUCAUGUGCAUGUUUUGGUCAUUUUGGUCAACAAUCCCCUACCAUAUCUUCUAUUAAGGUUACUCCCACAUGCCAACCACUGUCACAUGUAACUUUUAAAUAGCUCUCUUAAAUUCAUCAUUGCUAAAGGUUCUUCAAAACAUGCUACGCUAAACAAAGGUGCAGGACAAGUACACAAGAGCCUAAUUCACUAAUCACAAUAAAAAAAUUAUAAAAACAAACAAACAAACAAAAACACACACACAUCCAUAAUAGAACAUUAGCGUGUCCACCAAAUCCAAGCAAACUAGACCAUGAAAUUAAAUUUUCAAUAACAGCUCUCUCUAUAACAAAUAUUAAAAGGCUAAUGCUAAUCAGAUGGCCAUUGCAAGGCAAGGAAGAACCAUGGCAUUUUUAUCCCAAGUCCACGGAGAAAAAAGACACUUCUAAGAAACUCAACUGACCCCAUCAUAGCAUACUAAACAAAAACAAAGGAGCUAGAUUCUGAAGGUUCACCUGAAGCAGGAGUCGUCAAAUUCCCAGCAGUUCCUUCAGAAACCGGUGACUUCUGCCAUGUAAGCGUUUGAAAGUUUUCUAAUGGACUUCCCCCAUCUGAUGCAUAAGUUGUUUCGGAUUUGUUUUCCAAUCCUCCGUUCCUGUUCAGGCCAUCAGCAAACCAACUAGCAGAAGUAUCAACUUCACCUGCUACACGCCCUCGGUUGUCCCAUCGGAAGCUCCAUGAUGGUGAAUAUCGAACAUUUCUAUGCUGCAUAACUUCACAGCUUGGUCCAUUUGUUAUUGUUCUAUCUCUAG
Molecule: long non-coding RNA, 2269 nt
Filed under: Vitis vinifera (wine grape)
Lineage: Eukaryota; Viridiplantae; Streptophyta; Magnoliopsida; Vitales; Vitaceae
Description: long non-coding RNA (VVIN_LNC000652)
Source: RNAcentral